UACGUAGGGUGCAAGCGUUAAUCGGAAUUACUGGGCGUAAAGCGUGCGCAGGCGGUUUUGUAAGUCAGAUGUGAAAUCCCCGGGCUUAACCUGGGAACUGCGUUUGAAACUACAAGGCUAGAGUGUGGCAGAGGGGGGUGGAAUUCCACGUGUAGCAGUGAAAUGCGUAGAGAUGUGGAGGAACAUCCAUGGCGAAGGCAGCCCCCUGGGUUAACACUGACGCUCAGGCACGAAAGCGUGGGGAGCAAACAGA
RNAcentral lists this ribosomal RNA (253 nucleotides) under uncultured bacterium. RNAcentral's name for it is "partial 16S ribosomal RNA". It matches the Rfam family "Bacterial small subunit ribosomal RNA", at positions 524 to 776 of the family's 1533-position model. The record is from RNAcentral.